This 977-nucleotide ribosomal RNA is filed under the name Halobacillus alkaliphilus. RNAcentral describes it as "bacterial SSU rRNA". It matches the Rfam family "Bacterial small subunit ribosomal RNA", at positions 87 to 1035 of the family's 1533-position model. The record is from RNAcentral. Lineage: Bacteria; Bacillati; Bacillota; Bacilli; Caryophanales; Bacillaceae.
UGGAACGAGCGGCGGACGGGUGAGUAACACGUGGGCAACCUGCCUGUAAGACCGGAAUAACCCCGGGAAACCGGGGCUAAUGCCGGGUAACACCUACCUUCGCAUGAAGGAAGGUUAAAAGAUGGCUUCUUGCUAUCACUUACAGAUGGGCCCGCGGCGCAUUAGCUAGUUGGUGAGGUAACAGCUCACCAAGGCGACGAUGCGUAGCCGACCUGAGAGGGUGAUCGGCCACACUGGGACUGAGACACGGCCCAGACUCCUACGGGAGGCAGCAGUAGGGAAUCUUCCGCAAUGGACGAAAGUCUGACGGAGCAACGCCGCGUGAACGAUGAAGGUCUUCGGAUCGUAAAGUUCUGUUGUUAGGGAAGAACAAGUACCGUGCGAAUAGAGCGGUACCUUGACGGUACCUAACGAGGAAGCCCCGGCUAACUACGUGCCAGCAGCCGCGGUAAUACGUAGGGGGCAAGCGUUGUCCGGAAUUAUUGGGCGUAAAGCGCGCGCAGGCGGUUUCUUAAGUCUGAUGUGAAAGCCCACGGCUCAACCGUGGAGGGUCAUUGGAAACUGGGGAACUUGAGGACAGAAGAGGAGAGUGGAAUUCCACGUGUAGCGGUGAAAUGCGUAGAUAUGUGGAGGAACACCAGUGGCGAAGGCGACUCUCUGGUCUGUUUCUGACGCUGAGGUGCGAAAGCGUGGGUAGCAAACAGGAUUAGAUACCCUGGUAGUCCACGCCGUAAACGAUGAGUGCUAGGUGUUAGGGGGCUUCCACCCCUUAGUGCUGAAGUUAACGCAUUAAGCACUCCGCCUGGGGGAGUACGGCCGCAAGGCUGAAACUCAAAGGAAUUGACGGGGGCCCGCACAAGCGGUGGAAGCAUGUGGGUUUAAUUCGAAGCAACGCGAAGAAACCUUACCAGGGUCUUGACAUCCUUGGGACCACCCUAAGAAGAUAGGGGUCUUCCCUUUCGGGGGACCAAGUGGAC